GCAGUCGAGCGAGAAAGUGGCUUCGGCCAUGAGUACAGCGGCGAACGGGUGAGUAACACGUGGGUAACCUGCCUGGGAGUGGGGAAUAACCUGGGGAAACUCGGGCUAAUACCGCAUACGGUCGCGAUGCUUAAGUGUCGCGAAGAACGGUGGCCUCUCGCAGAAGCUGCCGCUCCCAGAGGGGCCCGCGCCCGAUUAGCUAGUUGGUGGGGUAACGGCUCACCAAGGCUGCGAUCGGUAGCCGGCCUGAGAGGGCGAUCGGCCACACUGGAACUGAGACACGGUCCAGACUCCUACGGGAGGCAGCAGUAGGGAAUAUUGCGCAAUGGGCGAAAGCCUGACGCAGCAACGCCGCGUGGGGGAUGAAGGCCUUCGGGUUGUAAACUCCUGUCAAGUGGGGCGAAAGAGCUCCGGUUAAGAGCUAGAGUUCUUGACGGUACCACUAGAGGAAGCCCCGGCUAACUCCGUGCCAGCAGCCGCGGUAAUACGGAGGGGGCAAGCGUUAUUCGGAAUUAUAGGGCGUAAAGGGCGCGCAGGCGGCUUGAUAAGUCGAAGGUGAAAUCCCCCGGCUCAACCGGGGAACUGCCUUCGAAACUAUCUAGCUAGAGGCCGGGAGAGGGUAGCGGAAUUCCCAGUGUAGCGGUGAAAUGCGUAGAUAUUGGGAGGAACACCAGUGGCGAAGGCGGCUACCUGGACCGGUUCUGACGCUGAGGCGCGAAAGCGUGGGGAGCAAACAGGAUUAGAUACCCUGGUAGUCCACGCUGUAAACGAUGGGCACUCGGUGCUGCGG
This 790-nucleotide ribosomal RNA is filed under the name uncultured bacterium. RNAcentral's name for it is "bacterial SSU rRNA". It matches the Rfam family "Bacterial small subunit ribosomal RNA", at positions 57 to 828 of the family's 1533-position model. The record is from RNAcentral.